This is a long non-coding RNA of Sapajus apella (tufted capuchin), 410 nucleotides long. RefSeq lists it as uncharacterized. Lineage: Eukaryota; Metazoa; Chordata; Mammalia; Primates; Cebidae. The transcript is spliced from 3 exons. The record is from RefSeq and is a predicted model, not a curated record.
GUGUGCACGCGUACUGGCUUCUUUUCUCAAUCCACUGUGUAAAUAUUAGUUUUCCUAAGUCAGUUCUGAGCUCCCUCAUUUUCUUCUCCAAUUUCCUUCUUUAGGGCAGUUUCAGAUGUAAUGAGUCCGAAGAUCACAUCUUGCUCUCAAGUUCCCUACAUAACUUAGAUACUUUUUUCAUAUACUGUUAAACACUGAAAUUCAAAAGUUGUAAUUUUUCUUUUCAAGAGUCUCCAAGUGUACCUGCAACCCCACACUUCUCGUCUCAGUGAAUGACCCGAUUUCCCAAGCAAGAAAUCUAUGUGUAAUUCUACUUUAGUCAGUAGGUGCUAACUGGCCACCUCCUGUUGUCCUUGAUAUGAAUAUUUUUUUUCCUCUUCCUCUACCACUUCUCUAAUUUAAGCCAGUCC